Molecule: ribosomal RNA, 1400 nt
Filed under: uncultured bacterium
Lineage: Bacteria
Description: bacterial SSU rRNA
Rfam family: Bacterial small subunit ribosomal RNA
Source: RNAcentral
GAUGAACGCUGGCGGCGUGCCUAACACAUGCAAGUCGAACGACCCCUUCGGGGGUAGUGGCAGACGAGUGAGUAACGCGUGGGAAUCUACCCCAGACACAGGGAUACCUGGCCGAAAGGUUAGUUAAUACCUGAUAUUCUCGCAAGAGAAAAGCUCCGGCGGUUUGGGAUGAGCCUGCGUCCUAUCAGCUUGUUGGUGAGGUAAUGGCUCACCAAGGCUAUGACGGGUAGCUGGACCGAGAGGUUGACCAGCCACGAUGGGACUGAGACACGGCCCAUACACCUACGGGUGGCAGCAGUGAGGAAUCGUGCGCAAUGGACGAAAGUCUGACGCCGCGACGCCGCGUGAAGGAAGAAGCUUCUCGGAGUGUAAACUUCUUUUCCAUAGGACGAUUAUGACGGUACUAUGGGAAUAAGCCACGGCUAACUUCGUGCCAGCAGCCGCGGUAAUACGAGGGUGGCAAGCGUUAUCCGGAUUUAUUGGGCGUAAAGAGCGCGUAGGCGGUUUCACCAGUCUUAACAUAAAUCUCAUUGCCUAACAAUGAACCUUGUUAAGAUACUGUGGAACUCGUGGAUGGCAGGGGCAAGCGGAAUUCCCGGUGUAGGGGUAAAAUCCAUUGAUAUCGGGAGGAACACCAAUGGCGAAGGCAGCUUGCUAGGUCAUUUCAGACGCUAAGGCGCGAAAGCGUGGGGAGCGAACGGGAUUAGAUACCCCGGUAGUCCACGCCGUAAACGAUGCUGACUAGCUAUAGGGAGUAUCGACCCUUCUUGUAGUGAAGCUAACGCGUUAAGUCAGCCACCUGGGGAGUACGGUCGCAAGACUAAAACUCAAAGGAAUAGACGGGGGCUCGCACAAGCGGUGGAACAUGAGGUUUAAUUCGACGAUAAGCGAAGAACCUUACCAGGGUUCACCCUAUUAGAACCCCACGGAAACGUGGGGGUGCCUUCGGGAGCUAAUAGGUCGGUGAUGCACGGUUGUCGUCAGCUCGUGCCGUGAGGUGUCCCGUUAAGUCGGUCAACGAGCGCAACCCUUACUCUGUGUUGCUUCGGUGUCACGCCGAAGAUCUCACUGAGGACUGCCUCGCCUAUUGAGCGGGGAGGAAGGUGGGGAUGACGUCAAAUCAGCGUGUCCCUUAUGCCCUGGGCAACACUCGUGUUACAAUGGUCAGCAACAACGGGUUGCAAGUCCGCGAGGACAAGCUAAUCCCUGAAAUCUGACCCCAGUUCGGAUUGUAGGCUGAAACUCGCCUGCAUGAAGCCGGAAUCGCUAGUAACCGUGGAUCAGAACGCCACGGUGAAUACGUUCUCGAGCCUUGUACUCACCGCCCGUCAAGUGAGCCGAGUCAGCAAUGCCCGAAGUACCCCAGUAGGGGUACCACGGCAGGGUUGGCGAGGAGCGCU